CCUACGGGUGGCUGCAGUGAGGAAUAUUGGUCAAUGGGCUUACGCCUGAAGCAGCCAAGCCGCGUGAGGGAAGACUGCCCUAUGGGCUGUAACCUUUUUUUGUCAGGGAGCAACGCCGCCUACGUGUAGCCGGACGGAGAGUACCUGAAGAAAAAGCAUCGCCAAACUCGGUACAAGCAGCCGCGGUAAGAGGGAGGAUGCGAGCGUUAGCCGGAUUGAUGGGGUUAAAGGGGAGCGAAGGUGGAGUGCAAGGUCAGUGGGAAAUACCCGGGGGCCAACCGGGCUCUGCCGUUGAAACUGGCGUUCUGGAGUGUGCGAGAGGGAUGAGGAAUGCGUGGUGGAGCGGUGAAAUGCGUAGAUAUCACGAAGAACACCGAUUGCGAAGGCAGCAUACCGGCACCCAACUGACGCUGAAGCACGAAAGCGUGGGUAUCGAACAGGAUUAGAUACCCGGGUAGUC
This 460-nucleotide ribosomal RNA is filed under the name uncultured bacterium. RNAcentral describes it as "partial 16S ribosomal RNA". It matches the Rfam family "Bacterial small subunit ribosomal RNA", at positions 338 to 795 of the family's 1533-position model. The record is from RNAcentral.